RNAcentral lists this ribosomal RNA (253 nucleotides) under uncultured bacterium. RNAcentral's name for it is "partial 16S ribosomal RNA". It matches the Rfam family "Bacterial small subunit ribosomal RNA", at positions 524 to 776 of the family's 1533-position model. The record is from RNAcentral.
UACGUAGGGGCCGAGCGUUGUCCGGAGUUACUGGGCGUAAAGCGUGCGUAGGCGGUGUCUUAAGUUUGUUGUGAAAUCUCCCGGCUUAACCGGGAGGGUGCGGCGAAUACUGAGAUGCUGGAGUGCCGGAGAGGUAAGCGGAAUUCCUGGUGUAGCGGUGAAAUGCGUAGAUAUCAGGAGGAACACCUGCGGUGUAGACGGCUUACUGGACGGUAACUGACGCUGAGGCACGGAAGCGUGGGUAGCAAACAGG